ACUACAGCCAAAUCUAAUCUCAAAAGAUUAGGAUAUUAAUUUUUCUCCUUUUUGCUAAUACUCAAUGAAAAACAACACUUAGCAUAAAACUUUUUCCAUGAAUAAGGGCUAGUAAUAUCCAC
Bison bison bison is the source of this 122-nucleotide unclassified non-coding RNA. Lineage: Eukaryota; Metazoa; Chordata; Mammalia; Artiodactyla; Bovidae. The record is from Ensembl.